This is a non-coding RNA of Parelaphostrongylus tenuis, 71 nucleotides long. The record is from the annotation of a GenBank genome assembly. Lineage: Eukaryota; Metazoa; Nematoda; Chromadorea; Rhabditida; Metastrongylidae.
GCCUCGGUAGUGUAGUGGGAGCACGCGUCCCCGGUAUGGGUGAAUCGCGGAUUCAGCUCCCGUCUGAGGUC